UUUAUGGAGAGUUUGAUCCUGGCUCAGGACGAACGCUGGCGGCGUGCCUAAUACAUGCAAGUCGAGCGGACUUGAUGGGAGCUUGCUCUCGUCAA
Molecule: ribosomal RNA, 95 nt
Filed under: Ureibacillus aquaedulcis
Lineage: Bacteria; Bacillati; Bacillota; Bacilli; Caryophanales; Caryophanaceae
Description: partial 16S ribosomal RNA
Rfam family: Bacterial small subunit ribosomal RNA
Source: RNAcentral